GGCUCGGUGGUGGAUGGUCCACGCCUGUAUGUUAUGCAAACCAAUCCAGAUGCCCAUCAAGCAGGAGAAGCCUGUUCGAAUCAGGCCCGAGCCU
Non-coding RNA from Mycena metata, 94 nucleotides. The record is from the annotation of a GenBank genome assembly. NCBI's taxonomy places the organism in Eukaryota, Fungi, Basidiomycota, Agaricomycetes, Agaricales, Mycenaceae.